RNAcentral lists this ribosomal RNA (602 nucleotides) under Saccharomyces uvarum. Its description in RNAcentral is "partial large subunit ribosomal RNA". It matches the Rfam family "Eukaryotic large subunit ribosomal RNA", at positions 43 to 659 of the family's 3401-position model. The record is from RNAcentral. Lineage: Eukaryota; Fungi; Ascomycota; Saccharomycetes; Saccharomycetales; Saccharomycetaceae.
UCCAAUAGCGGAGGAAAAGAAACCAACCGGGAUUGCCUUAGUAACGGCGAGUGAAGCGGCAAAAGCUCAAAUUUGAAAUCUGGUACCUUUGGUGCCCGAGUUGUAAUUUGGAGAGGGCAACUUUGGGACCGUUCCUUGUCUAUGUUCCUUGGAACAGGACGUCAUAGAGGGUGAGAAUCCCGUGUGGCGAGGAGUGCGGUUCUAUGUAAAGUGCCUUCGAAGAGUCGAGUUGUUUGGGAAUGCAGCUCUAAGUGGGUGGUAAAUUCCAUCUAAAGCUAAAUAUUGGCGAGAGACCGAUAGCGAACAAGUACAGUGAUGGAAAGAUGAAAAGAACUUUGAAAAGAGAGUGAAAAAGUACGUGAAAUUGUUGAAAGGGAAGGGCAUUUGAUCAGACAUGGUGUUUUGCGCCCUCUGCUCCUUGUGGGUGGGGGAAUCUCGCAGUUCACUGGGCCAGCAUCAGUUUUGGUGGCAGGAUAAAUCCGUAGGAAUGUAACUUGCUUCGGGAAGUAUUAUAGCCUAUGGGAAUACUGCCAGCUGGGACUGAGGACUGCGACGUAAGUCAAGGAUGCUGGCAUAAUGGUUAUAUGCCGCCCGUCUUGAAA